Molecule: ribosomal RNA, 450 nt
Filed under: uncultured bacterium
Lineage: Bacteria
Description: partial 16S ribosomal RNA
Rfam family: Bacterial small subunit ribosomal RNA
Source: RNAcentral
GUGGGGAAUAUUGGACAAUGGGCGAAAGCCUGAUCCAGCCAUGCCGCGUGUGUGAAGAAGGUCUUCGGAUUGUAAAGCACUUUAAGUUGGGAGGAAGGGCAGUAAGUUAAUACCUUGCUGUUUUGACGUUACCGACAGAAUAAGCACCGGCUAACUUCGUGCCAGCAGCCGCGGUAAUACGAAGGGUGCAAGCGUUAAUCGGAAUUACUGGGCGUAAAGCGCGCGUAGGUGGUUUUGUAAGUUGGAGGUGAAAUCCCCGGGCUCAACCUGGGAACUGCCUCCAAAACUGCAUGACUAGAGUACGGUAGAGGGUAGUGGAAUUUCCUGUGUAGCGGUGAAAUGCGUAGAUAUAGGAAGGAACACCAGUGGCGAAGGCGACUACCUGGACUGAUACUGACGCUGAGGUGCGAAAGCGUGGGGAGCAAACAGGAUUAGAAACCCUUGUAGUCC